Molecule: non-coding RNA, 102 nt
Filed under: Afipia felis (cat scratch disease bacillus)
Lineage: Bacteria; Pseudomonadati; Pseudomonadota; Alphaproteobacteria; Hyphomicrobiales; Nitrobacteraceae
Description: Glycine
Rfam family: Glycine riboswitch aptamer
About the family: This family represents the bacterial glycine riboswitch. Glycine riboswitches usually consist of two metabolite-binding aptamers domains with similar structures in tandem.
Source: RNAcentral
ACCCGCACACCGGGAGAGACUGGCCGCUUUGAAAUGGAAAGCAGCCGGCGCCGAAGGAGCAACCGCCCCGGAAACUCUCAGGCAAAAGGACCGUGUGAGGGA